Molecule: non-coding RNA, 95 nt
Organism: Rhodobacteraceae bacterium CG2_30_10_405
Lineage: Bacteria; Pseudomonadati; Pseudomonadota; Alphaproteobacteria; Rhodobacterales; Paracoccaceae
Source: Rfam
GGUUCGGGAGCCAUCCGGUGGGACGGAUGGCAUGAAUGGAACCAGACCCCCUGCUUCGCAAGCGGCACGCGCCCGUGACCCCGAUGGUCCGUGUG